GGGAAGACAGGGUAGAGGGGUGUUGUGCCGGGAAGACAGGCUGUACGUAGAGGGGCGUUGUGCCGGGAAGACAGGCUGUACGUAGAGGGGCGUUGUGCCGGGAAGACAGGCUGUACGUAGAGGGGCGUUGUGCCGGGAAGACAGGCUGUACGUAGAGGGGCGUUGUGCCGGGAAGAAGACAGGCUGUACGUAGAGGGGCGUUGUGCCGGGAAGACAGGCUGUACGUAGAGGGGCGUUGUGCCGGGAAGACAGGCUGUACGUAGAGGGGCGUUGUGCCGGGAAGACAGG
Molecule: long non-coding RNA, 288 nt
Organism: Oncorhynchus tshawytscha (Chinook salmon)
Lineage: Eukaryota; Metazoa; Chordata; Actinopteri; Salmoniformes; Salmonidae
Exons: 2
Source: RefSeq, a predicted model, not a curated record